AUGCAUAAGCCGUUUGGCGGUACAUAUACAAAACCUGAUGCAAGAGUAAAGUUGAUUCCGGCAGAAGACAUCACUUAUGUACGACAUGGAAAGCCUUUUGGUAGAACAGUUGGCUCAGCAAAGCUGCAGAAAAGACACUCCAGACGAAGUGUCACUCCUCCUCCGAGUUCGCGUAAAGUUUCUCUUGCGAGGUCAACACCACUUACUCAGAAGUCUACGCCACUGUUUACCUCCAAGGCCAUGCCACCGCUUAAUCACAAGGCUUCAGCGCCUUUUACUCAUAAGGCCACAGCAUCUCUUAAUCACACGGCCAUGGCACCUCUUACUCACAAGGCCGCGGCUCCUCCUACUCACAAGCCCACGACGCCGCCCCUUUCUGGUUCAUCGUGUCUUUCUCCUAAGAGAGUUGAGACAGCUCACAAGGCCACAGGACUUCUUAGUCCCAAGCAUGCUACACCACCCUUGCCUGUUGCAUCGUGUCUUUCUCCCAAGAGAGUUGAGACAGCUCACAAGGCCAUGGGGCCUCUUAGUCCCAAGCCCACUACACCACCCUUGCCUGUUGCAUCGUGUCUUUCUCCUAAGAGAGUUGAGACAGCUCACAAGGCCACGGGACCUCUUAGUCCCAAGCCCACUACACCACCCUUGCCUGUUGCAUCGUGUCUUUCUCCUAAGAGAGUUGAGACAGCUCACAAGGCCAUGGGACCUCUUAGCCCCAAGCCCACCACACCUCCCCUGCCGGUUGCAUCGUGUCUUUCUCCUAAGAGAGUUGAGACAGCUGAAAACAGGCAACCAUUUUCUCUCAAUCGGCCAUCACCACUCUACAAGGCUGUCCAGAGAGGUGCAUUUCCUCCAUCUGUUUCACGGAAAGAGUCAGAGAUGAAUCCCAUCAAUCCUAGUUCUGUGCAUGUUCCUCCUGCAUAUUCAAGGAAGGUUCCUCUUGAUAGAAAGGCAGAACCUUCUUCUAAGAGUGUCAGCACACUUGACAACAAAAAGUUAUGCUCUACAAGCAAUCAGGCUGCACUUAGAUGUCAACCUACAAAAAGAGAUGCAGAUCCUAUUGUGGAAAAAGAAAAUACUGUGAAGCUUCCAUUAAUGAGCCCAACAUCUGUGCUUAGUUCAAGUUCCACCGAGGUAUGUCCAGAUACUGGAUCAAGGUCUGCAUCCAGACUAAAUUUGUUUGAUGAAAAAUGCAAGCUGGACUCACCGCAGCCUGAAACAAACAUACCUCAAGCAAAAAGCCCAGAGUCUACAACUCCAGCCCCAUAUGCUCAACUUUCCAAUGAUUUGAGAGCUGUUUCCUCCACUAAGAUCAUUGUCAGGAAUGAGAGACAAACGAACCAGGAACCAUCAAUUACUUGUAACAUCUCUUCAGGUAUAGUUAUCAUCCUGAAAGUAAUACAUUGCAGAAUCCUGAUGCAUGAUUUAGC
Molecule: long non-coding RNA, 1427 nt
Filed under: Hordeum vulgare
Lineage: Eukaryota; Viridiplantae; Streptophyta; Magnoliopsida; Poales; Poaceae
Description: long non-coding RNA (HVUL_LNC010833)
Source: RNAcentral